AUGGUCGUCGUUGCGCCUCUGUUCGUCGACGGUUUCAUCACGAGCCCCGUGCCUGUUUCCAUCGCUGCUCGCGCACCGCCUUGCAUUGUCUUCUUCUGGCCAGAGGUCCUUUGUCUCGCUUGGUUUUGGAUCGGCAAGAACGAUACGCGAAGAACCAUACCCGGACCGUCAAGUAUUUUAUCGAAGAAUUUUGCCAAGUACCAUGACGAUGCGUCAAGUACCACUACGUUCGUCGAUCGAAGUACCCCUCCAUUUCGUCGAGACUGGCAAGUCCAAAGACCCCAAGUACCACGACAACCUCGAAGGGAUUCAAAUCCGUCAAGCUCCUCUAACGAUGACCCGAGAACGUCUAUGAUCCAUGCACAACUACCGUCGCCAAGACCAGACUGA
RNAcentral lists this ribosomal RNA (390 nucleotides) under Triticum aestivum (bread wheat). RNAcentral describes it as "partial small subunit ribosomal RNA". The record is from RNAcentral. Lineage: Eukaryota; Viridiplantae; Streptophyta; Magnoliopsida; Poales; Poaceae.